UGUAAGCGCAGUGAUGCGUUCAGCUUACCAGUACUAAUCGCCCGUGAGGCUUGACCAUA
Molecule: ribosomal RNA, 59 nt
Filed under: Candidatus Aminicenantes bacterium RBG_13_59_9
Lineage: Bacteria; Candidatus Aminicenantota
Description: partial 23S ribosomal RNA
Source: RNAcentral